CGGCGAUGUCCGAAUGGGGAAACCCAGUGCAAUUCGUUGCACUAUCGUUAACUGAAUACAUAGGUUAACGAGGCGAACCGGGGGAACUGAAACAUCUAAGUACCCCGAGGAAAAGAAAUCAACCGAGAUUCCCCCAGUAGCGGCGAGCGAACGGGGAGCAGCCCAGAGUCUGAAUCAGCUUGUGUGUUAGUGGAACGGUCUGGAAAGUCCGACGGUACAGGGUGAUAGUCCCGUACACCAAAAUGCACAGGCUGUGAACUCGAAGAGUAGGGCGGGACACGUGGUAUCCUGUCUGAAUAUGGGGGGACCAUCCUCCAAGGCUAAAUACUCCUGACUGACCGAUAGUGAACCAGUACCGUGAGGGAAAGGCGAAAAGAACCCCGGCGAGGGGAGUGAAAAAGAACCUGAAACCGUGUACGUACAAGCAGUGGGAGCACCUUCGGGUGUGACUGCGUACCUUUUGUAUAAUGGGUCAGCGACUUAUAUUCUGUAGCAAGGUUAACCGUAUAGGGGAGCCGCAGGGAAACCGAGUCUUAACUGGGCGUUAAGUUGCAGGGUAUAGACCCGAAACCCGGUGAUCUAGCCAUGGGCAGGUUGAAGGUUGGGUAACACUAACUGGAGGACCGAACCGACUAAUGUUGAAAAAUUAGCGGAUGACUUGUGGCUGGGGGUGAAAGGCCAAUCAAACCGGGAGAUAGCUGGUUCUCCCCGAAAGCUAUUUAGGUAGCGCCUCGUGAAUUCAUCUUCGGGGGUAGAGCACUGUUUCGGCUAGGGGGUCAUCCCGACUUACCAACCCGAUGCAAACUACGAAUACCGAAGAAUGUUAUCACGGGAGACACACGGCGGGUGCUAACGUCCGUCGUGAAGAGGGAAACAACCCAGACCGCCAGCUAAGGUCCCAAAGUCAUGGUUAAGUGGGAAACGAUGUGGGAAGGCACAGACAGCCAGGAUGUUGGCUUAGAAGCAGCCAUCAUUUAAAGAAAGCGUAAUAGCUCACUGGUCGAGUCGGCCUGCGCGGAAGAUGUAACGGGGCUAAACCAUGCACCGAAGCUGCGGCAGCGACACUAUGUGUUGUUGGGUAGGGGAGCGUUCUGUAAGCCUGCGAAGGUGACCUGUGAGGGUUGCUGGAGGUAUCAGAAGUGCGAAUGCUGACAUAAGUAACGAUAAAGCGGGUGAAAAGCCCGCUCGCCGGAAGACCAAGGGUUCCUGUCCAACGUUAAUCGGGGCAGGGUGAGUCGACCCCUAAGGCGAGGCCGAAAGGCGUAGUCGAUGGGAAACAGGUUAAUAUUCCUGUACUUGGUGUUACUGCGAAGGGGGGACGGAGAAGGCUAUGUUAGCCGGGCGACGGUUGUCCCGGUUUAAGCAUGUAGGCUGGUUAUCCAGGCAAAUCCGGAUAAUCAAGGCUGAGGUGUGAUGACGAGGCACUACGGUGCUGAAGUAACAAAUGCCCUGCUUCCAGGAAAAGCCUCUAAGCAUCAGGUAACAUCAAAUCGUACCCCAAACCGACACAGGUGGUCAGGUAGAGAAUACCAAGGCGCUUGAGAGAACUCGGGUGAAGGAACUAGGCAAAAUGGUGCCGUAACUUCGGGAGAAGGCACGCUGGUGUGUAGGUGAAGUCCCUGCGGAUGGAGCUGAGACCAGUCGAAGAUACCAGCUGGCUGCAACUGUUUAUUAAAAACACAGCACUGUGCAAACACGAAAGUGGACGUAUACGGUGUGACGCCUGCCCGGUGCCGGAAGGUUAAUUGAUGGGGUUAUCCGUAAGGAGAAGCUCUUGAUCGAAGCCCCGGUAAACGGCGGCCGUAACUAUAACGGUCCUAAGGUAGCGAAAUUCCUUGUCGGGUAAGUUCCGACCUGCACGAAUGGCGUAAUGAUGGCCAGGCUGUCUCCACCCGAGACUCAGUGAAAUUGAACUCGCUGUGAAGAUGCAGUGUACCCGCGGCAAGACGGAAAGACCCCGUGAACCUUUACUAUAGCUUGACACUGAACAUUGAGCCUUGAUGUGUAGGAUAGGUGGGAGGCUUUGAAGCGUGGACGCCAGUCUGCGUGGAGCCAACCUUGAAAUACCACCCUUUAAUGUUUGAUGUUCUAACGUUGGCCCCUGACCGGGGUUGCGGACAGUGUCUGGUGGGUAGUUUGACUGGGGCGGUCUCCUCCCAAAGCGUAACGGAGGAGCACGAAGGUUAGCUAAUCCUGGUCGGACAUCAGGAGGUUAGUGCAAUGGCAUAAGCUAGCUUGACUGCGAGCGUGACGGCGCGAGCAGGUGCGAAAGCAGGUCAUAGUGAUCCGGUGGUUCUGAAUGGAAGGGCCAUCGCUCAACGGAUAAAAGGUACUCCGGGGAUAACAGGCUGAUACCGCCCAAGAGUUCAUAUCGACGGCGGUGUUUGGCACCUCGAUGUCGGCUCAUCACAUCCUGGGGCUGAAGUAGGUCCCAAGGGUAUGGCUGUUCGCCAUUUAAAGUGGUACGCGAGCUGGGUUUAGAACGUCGUGAGACAGUUCGGUCCCUAUCUGCCGUGGGCGCUGGAGAAUUGAGGGGGGCUGCUCCUAGUACGAGAGGACCGGAGUGGACGCAUCACUGGUGUUCGGGUUGUCAUGCCAAUGGCACUGCCCGGUAGCUAAAUGCGGAAGAGAUAAGUGCUGAAAGCAUCUAAGCACGAAACUUGCCCCGAGAUGAGUUCU
This 2679-nucleotide ribosomal RNA is filed under the name Klebsiella pneumoniae. RNAcentral describes it as "bacterial LSU rRNA". It matches the Rfam family "Bacterial large subunit ribosomal RNA". The record is from RNAcentral. Lineage: Bacteria; Pseudomonadati; Pseudomonadota; Gammaproteobacteria; Enterobacterales; Enterobacteriaceae.